UCCGUAGGCGGGUAAUUAAGUCAGAGGUGAAAUCCCACAGCUCAACUGUGGAACUGCCUUAGAUACUGGUUAUCUUGAGUUUUAGUGAAGUAGAUAGAAUGUGUAGUGUAGCGGUGAAAUGCAUAGAUAUUACACAGAAUACCGAUUGCGAAGGCAGUCUACUAACUAACAACUGACGCUAAUGGACGAAAGCGUGGGGAGCGAACAGGAUUAGAUACACUGGUAGUCC
Molecule: ribosomal RNA, 229 nt
Filed under: uncultured bacterium
Lineage: Bacteria
Description: partial 16S ribosomal RNA
Rfam family: Bacterial small subunit ribosomal RNA
Source: RNAcentral